Molecule: transfer RNA, 89 nt
Filed under: Equus caballus (horse)
Lineage: Eukaryota; Metazoa; Chordata; Mammalia; Perissodactyla; Equidae
Rfam family: tRNA
About the family: Transfer RNA (tRNA) molecules are approximately 80 nucleotides in length. Their secondary structure includes four short double-helical elements and three loops (D, anti-codon, and T loops). Further hydrogen bonds mediate the characteristic L-shaped molecular structure. tRNAs have two regions of fundamental functional importance: the anti-codon, which is responsible for specific mRNA codon recognition, and the 3' end, to which the tRNAs corresponding amino acid is attached (by aminoacyl-tRNA synthetases). tRNAs cope with the degeneracy of the genetic code in two manners: having more than one tRNA (with a specific anti-codon) for a particular amino acid; and 'wobble' base-pairing, i.e. permitting non-standard base-pairing at the 3rd anti-codon position.
Source: Rfam by way of RNAcentral
CCUUUGAUAGCUCAGCUGGUAGAGCAGAGGACUGUAGUCUGGUCUCUGUGGGAAUCCUUAGGUCGCUGGUUUAAUUCCAGCUGGAAGGA